UACGUAGGGUGCAAGCGUUGUCCGGAAUUAUUGGGCGUAAAGAGCUCGUAGGCGGUCUGUCGCGUCUGCUGUGAAAACUCAGGGCUUAACCCUGAGCUUGCAGUGGGUACGGGCAGACUAGAGUGCGGUAGGGGAGACUGGAAUUCCUGGUGUAGCGGUGAAAUGCGCAGAUAUCAGGAGGGAACACCCGGUGGGCGAAAGGCGGG
RNAcentral lists this ribosomal RNA (206 nucleotides) under uncultured bacterium. RNAcentral's name for it is "partial 16S ribosomal RNA". It matches the Rfam family "Bacterial small subunit ribosomal RNA", at positions 524 to 725 of the family's 1533-position model. The record is from RNAcentral.